GAUGAACGCUAGCUACAGGCUUAACACAUGCAAGUCGAGGGGUAACGAGAGGAAAGCUUGCUUUCCUUGUCGACGACCGGCGCACGGGUGAGUAACGCGUAUCCAACCUGCCCCCAACUAGGGAAUAACCUUGCGAAAGUAAGACUAAUACCCUAUAAUUUCCUCAGAUGCCAUCUGACGAGGAAUAAAGAUUUAUCGGUUGUGGAUGGGGAUGAGUCUGAUUAGCUUGUUGUGCGGGGUAACGGCCCACCAAGGCAACGAUCAGUAGGGGUUCGGGAAGGAAGGGCCCGCACAUUGAAACUGAGACAGGGUCAAACCUCCUACGGGAGGGAGCAGUGAGGAAUAUUGGUCAAUGGUCGGAAGCCGGAACAACCAAGUUAGCGAGCAGGAUGACUGCCCUAGGGGUUGUAAACUGCUUUUAUACAGGAAUAAAGUUAGCCACGUGUGGUUAUUUGUAGGUACGGUAUAAAUAAGGACCGGCUAAUUCCGUGCCAGCGGCCGCGGAAA
RNAcentral lists this ribosomal RNA (507 nucleotides) under uncultured bacterium. Its description in RNAcentral is "partial 16S ribosomal RNA". It matches the Rfam family "Bacterial small subunit ribosomal RNA", at positions 28 to 523 of the family's 1533-position model. The record is from RNAcentral.